CGAAAACKWGMYYUCMGAGAUGGGAAYGUGCCUUCGGGAACUGUGAGACAGGUGCUGCAUGGCUGUCGUCAGCUGGAGKGAAAUGUUGGGUUAAGUCCCGCAACGAGCGCAACCCUUACCCUUUGUUGCCAGCGGUCCGGCCGGGAACUCAAAGGAGACUGCCAGUGAUAAACUGGAGGAAGGUGGGGAUGACGUCAAGUCAUCAUGGCCCUUACGACCAGGGCUACACACGUGCUACAAUGGCGCAUACAAAGAGAAGCGACCUCGCGAGAGCAAGCGGACCUCAUAAAGUGCGUCGUAGUCCGGAUUGGAGUCUGCAACUCGACUCCAUGAAGUCGGAAUCGCUAGUAAUCGUGGAUCAGAAUGCCACGGUGAAUACGUUCCCGGGUCUUGUACACACCGA
Molecule: ribosomal RNA, 403 nt
Filed under: Enterobacter sp. 124(2012)
Lineage: Bacteria; Pseudomonadati; Pseudomonadota; Gammaproteobacteria; Enterobacterales; Enterobacteriaceae
Description: bacterial SSU rRNA
Rfam family: Bacterial small subunit ribosomal RNA
Source: RNAcentral